UGUUAAAACUGUGAUUUUAACUACUUCAUAACUAUUUCAUAAAGCCAUCCACAGUGGAUUUCAAAGUUUUGUGUAAACCGAACAACAGAAAAGGAGUCCAAAACAAGAGCCUAGAAAGGCAUUUUAUGGGGAUUGUUCUUCUUAGACCAGAAAAAUGUUUAGUUCAUAAAAAGUAAUUCAGUCAGAAUUCCAGCAUCAUUUCAAUUUCUGGUUUAAGCAGAUCUCUGCUGAAAAGCAGUCAGUGAUUUAUUUCUACAGAAAUUCUCAAAUGUCUUUGUAUAAUUUUAAGGCCUAUUGGUUGGUACAGAGCAGUGAUGGAAGACAGUGUACAGUUAGAAAACAACUUGUGCAGGAAACAGCUGGCACCACAAUGAAGAUUGCCAAAGAACAAGUUGCUGUCACAGAAUGCCCCUACCAUGUCCCACAGGCCAAGCAGGAAAACAAAAAACAGAUCUGUGAGUUUUACCUCCAGGACUGUUUUGAUCUCCUUACUUCAGUCUCUGGUCAUUAUUGGUGCAGUCAAGUACGUGGCUGGCCUAGUUAUGGGACACAUCCAGGAACACGUGCAUGCAGGAGUGCAGCAAACUGCUGCACCCACGUUGCUGCACCAGCGAUGGUGCAUCACCGGUGAUGCAGCAGUGACCCUGUCUGACACCAUGCAGCCGACCCAACAAGGAGCUGUCAGAAACUGGCGAACACUCAUUAAGCAGCAUCUGAGAAAUGUGCUUUCAUGCACACCCAUUUGCCUGAAUUUCUCUCUGUCCUCGGGUAGCUCUUUGUAA
This 782-nucleotide long non-coding RNA is filed under the name Zonotrichia albicollis (white-throated sparrow). RNAcentral describes it as "lncRNA (ENSZALG00000010577.1)". Lineage: Eukaryota; Metazoa; Chordata; Aves; Passeriformes; Passerellidae. The record is from RNAcentral.